UGGGGAAUAUUGCACAAUGGGCGAAAGCCUGAUGCAGCAACGCCGCGUGAGUGAUGAAGGCCUUCGGGUUGUAAAGCUCUGUCUUUUGGGACGAUAAUGACGGUACCAAAGGAGGAAGCCACGGCUAACUACGUGCCAGCAGCCGCGGUAAUACGUAGGUGGCAAGCGUUGUCCGGAUUUACUGGGCGUAAAGGAUGCGUAGGCGGAUUUUUAAGUGAGAUGUGAAAUACCCGGGCUUAACUUGGGUGCUGCAUUUCAAACUGGGAAUCUAGAGUGCGGGAGAGGAGAAUGAAAUUCCUAGUGUAGCGGUGAAAUGCGUAGAGAUUAGGAAGAACACCAGUGGCGAAGGCGAUUCUCUGGACCGUAACUGACGCUGAGGCAUGAAAGCGUGGGUAGCAAACAGGAUUAGAUACCCUGGUAGUCCACGCCGUAAACGAUGAGUACUAGGUGUAGGAGGUAUCGACCCCUUCUGUGCCGCAGUUAACACAAUAAGUACUCCGCCUGGGAAGUACGAUCGCAAGAUU
RNAcentral lists this ribosomal RNA (524 nucleotides) under uncultured bacterium. RNAcentral's name for it is "partial 16S ribosomal RNA". It matches the Rfam family "Bacterial small subunit ribosomal RNA", at positions 355 to 895 of the family's 1533-position model. The record is from RNAcentral.